GAUGAACGCUGGCGGCGUGCCUAAUACAUGCAAGUCGAGCGGACAGACGAGGAGCUUGCGCCUCUGACGUUAGCGGCGGACGGGUGAGUAACACGUGUAUCACCUCCCUAUCAGAGUGGGAACACUUCGGGAAACCGGCGCUUAUCGCGGAGAAGAUCUUGAACCGCGUUGUUCGAUAGUGAGAGACGGCGUUGGUGGCACUACUAGAUGGAUCUGCGCCGGAUGAGCUAGUUGGUAAGGUAACGGCUUACCACGGCAAGGAUGCGUAGGCGAACGGAGAGACGGAUCGGCCACACGGGAACUGAGACACGGUCCAGACUCCUACGGUAGGCAGCAGUCGGGUAUCUGCGGCAAUGGGCGAAAGCCUGACGGAGCAGCGCCACGUGAGUGAUGAAGGCCUUCGGAUCGUAAAGCUCGGUUAUUGGGGAAGAACAAAUUUGUCAGGAACUAUGGCCGUCGUGACGGUACCUAAUAAGAAAGCAACGGCUAACUACGUG
Molecule: ribosomal RNA, 497 nt
Filed under: uncultured bacterium
Lineage: Bacteria
Description: partial 16S ribosomal RNA
Rfam family: Bacterial small subunit ribosomal RNA
Source: RNAcentral